ACGCUCGACACCUACGGGAGUCAGCAGUGGGGAAUAUUGCACAAUGGGGGAAACCCUGAUGCAGCGACGCCGCGUGAAGGAAGAAGUAUUUCGGUAUGUAAACUUCUAUCAGCAGGGAAGAAACUGACGGUACCUGACUAAGAAGCACCGGCUAAAUACGUGCCAGCAGCCGCGGUAAUCUGAGCGGGCUGGCAAGGC
This 198-nucleotide ribosomal RNA is filed under the name uncultured bacterium. Its description in RNAcentral is "partial 16S ribosomal RNA". It matches the Rfam family "Bacterial small subunit ribosomal RNA", at positions 328 to 539 of the family's 1533-position model. The record is from RNAcentral.